AGGUGCGAUCAUACCAGCACUAAUGCAUCAGAUCCCAUCAGAACAGUGCAGUUAAGCGUGCUUGGGUGAGAGUAGUACUAGGAUGGGUGACCUCCCGGGAAGUCCUCGUGUUGCACCUC
RNAcentral lists this ribosomal RNA (119 nucleotides) under Cajanus cajan (pigeon pea). The record is from RNAcentral. Lineage: Eukaryota; Viridiplantae; Streptophyta; Magnoliopsida; Fabales; Fabaceae.